UGUCAUACUCCAAAAAGCGGAGGAAAAGAAACCAACAGGGAUUGCCUUAGUAGCGGCGAGUGAGCGGCAAAAGCUCAAAUUUGAAAUCUGGCGUAUUCUGCGUCCGAGUUGUAAUUUGAAGAAGGAUACUUUGGGGUUGGCUCUUGUCUAUGUUUCUUGGAACAGAACGUCACAGAGGGUGAGAAUCCCGUGCGAUGAGAAGCCCAAUUCCGUGUAAAGUGCCUUCGAAGAGUCGAGUUGUUUGGGAAUGCAGCUCUAAGUGGGUGGUAAAUUCCAUCUAAAGCUAAAUAUUGGCGAGAGACCGAUAGCGAACAAGUACAGUGAUGGAAAGAUGAAAAGAACUUUGAAAAGAGAGUGAAAAAGUACGUGAAAUUGUUGAAAGGGAAGGGCUUGAGAUCAGACUUGGUAUUUUGUAUGUCUUGCUUUCGGGUGGGGCCUCUGCAGUUUACUGGGCCAGCAUCGGUUCGGGUGGUAGGACAAUUGCGAAGGAACGUGGCACUGCUUCGGUGGUGUGUUAUAGCCUUUGUGGAUACUGCCUGUCUGGACCGAGGACUGCGUCAUUUGACUAGGAUGCUGGCAUAAUGAUCUUAAGUCGCCCGUCUAAAAAACCGAGAGAAACCA
Molecule: ribosomal RNA, 621 nt
Filed under: Hemisphaericaspora elongata
Lineage: Eukaryota; Fungi; Ascomycota; Pichiomycetes; Serinales; Debaryomycetaceae
Description: Spathaspora elongata partial large subunit ribosomal RNA
Rfam family: Eukaryotic large subunit ribosomal RNA
Source: RNAcentral